GGGGAUUUAGCUCAGCGGCAUAAGCGCCUGCCUUGCAAGCAGGUAGUCAUGAGUAUCAAUCCCUG
This 65-nucleotide transfer RNA is filed under the name Cavia porcellus (domestic guinea pig). It matches the Rfam family "tRNA". Rfam says of the family: Transfer RNA (tRNA) molecules are approximately 80 nucleotides in length. Their secondary structure includes four short double-helical elements and three loops (D, anti-codon, and T loops). The record is from Rfam by way of RNAcentral. Lineage: Eukaryota; Metazoa; Chordata; Mammalia; Rodentia; Caviidae.